GACGAACGCUGGCGGCGUGCCUAACACAUGCAAGUCGAGCGAUGAAGUUUCUUCGGAAACGGAUUAGCGGCGGACGGGUGAGUAACACGUGGGUAACCUGCCUUAUAGAGGGGAAUAGCCUUUCGAAAGAGAGAUUAAUACCGCAUAAGAUUGUAGCUUCGCAUGGAGCAGCAAUUAAAGGAGCAAUCCGCUAUAAGAUGGACCCGCGGCGCAUUAGCUAGUUGGUGAGGUAAUGGCUCACCAAGGCCACGAUGCGUAGCCGACCUGAGAGGGUGACCGGCCACAUUGGGACUGAGACACGGCCCAGACUCCUACGGGAGGCUG
This 324-nucleotide ribosomal RNA is filed under the name uncultured Bacillota bacterium. RNAcentral's name for it is "bacterial SSU rRNA". It matches the Rfam family "Bacterial small subunit ribosomal RNA", at positions 28 to 351 of the family's 1533-position model. Lineage: Bacteria; Bacillati; Bacillota. The record is from RNAcentral.